Molecule: ribosomal RNA, 88 nt
Filed under: Pseudoduganella aquatica
Lineage: Bacteria; Pseudomonadati; Pseudomonadota; Betaproteobacteria; Burkholderiales; Oxalobacteraceae
Description: partial 16S ribosomal RNA
Rfam family: Bacterial small subunit ribosomal RNA
Source: RNAcentral
CGCUUACCACGGUAGGAUUCGUGACUGGGGUGAAGUCGUAACAAGGUAGCCGUAUCGGAAGGUGCGGCUGGAUCACCUCCUUUCUAGA